Long non-coding RNA from Rhea pennata, 1403 nucleotides. RefSeq lists it as uncharacterized. The record is from RefSeq and is a predicted model, not a curated record. The transcript is spliced from 7 exons. NCBI's taxonomy places the organism in Eukaryota, Metazoa, Chordata, Aves, Rheiformes, Rheidae.
UCGCGGGAGGCGGCGGCGGCGUCGCGGGGGCCGCUGCGCGCCCGCUAGAAACGCCGAGCCUGGGGUUGAGCCGGGCAGCGGCUCUGCCGUGAGGGCGGUUGGGGGCGCCGCCUGGUCCCGCCGCGAGGGCCUCGGCGCUGUGGGUCGCAAGGAGUUUGGAGUCAGAACAAGCCAGAGUGAUCUUUAGAUUGACUACGGAAGAUUGAGCAAGGCAAAUGCUGUUAUCCUACUCUGCCAAAGGAACCAGUGAGAAUUCCCACAGCCUAGAGGGCUCAAGCAGCUUGGUCCUCAAAUGCUUUAUAUCAGAAAAGCUCUGCAAAGGAUUCAUGUGAAUCGCUAGAGGUCCUUCACUGCAGUUUCAGGACCACUGUCAAAGAUAAAUUAUUCUACAUCAUGCUGCAAGUAUUACAGCAGUGAAAAAGGGCUUAGCACAGGGAGCUGAGUAACCAGUUCACACUGGCUGAUACAAUGCUGGAGAAGAUCCAUGACACCAGCAGAUGCUACAGCUUCAGCACCAAGUACUACUGUCAAGGACUGGGCUCUACCCACCUCAUUAGGCAGUGAGCACGGCGUGCCUGUCGCCUUUUCUCUGCUAGAAUUUUUGAAGCUUCUUCUGCAUCAGUUGUUCCUGCUGUGAGCUUCCCUGGAAGAACAUCAAGAUUGGAAAGAUAGGCUGGGAAAUGAGAGACUGCCCAGCACUGUGAUGCUUGGAUAGUGGCUGAAAUGGGUCUAGUUCACACUAUUAAGCCAUCCUUGUUUUUCCUAGACAUGCAUCAGCAUCUUCAGCAGAUGAAGCAUGGGAUAAGUAAGAGUAUCCCUGGAUUUCAACAUUUUCACAUUUCCAUUAGCAACAAAUGUUCUCCAAACAUGGGUUGCCUGGAGUUUCCUGGCUGAGAUUAGAAGUGGCACGAUGCUUCACAGGUGAAGCUGGAUAUUGUUUGGCAUUUUUGGGAGACUGAGGAUAAGUCUUUGCAACUGUCCUGAUGAGGAAAACAAAAGUCAAAGAGUCCGUUAUGCAACUGGGAAUGAAGUUCUGUCUUUAUAUAUAUGAUUCUUCUUGUUGUCUCUGUCUACACAGUAAUAUCAGCAGUUUUGCACAAUAUUGCGUAGAAAAUAGGCUGGAGGCAAAACAAUCAGAACCUGAAAUGCAGGAAAUUAUCAAGCAAGUGCAAAUGAUUACAGGAAAGUCUAAUAUAAAAUAUCAAAAAUAUUCUCUGAGUUGUGGGAAAGCAAUAUGAUAUCAUGGACUAACAAGUGCGAUUUCAUAAAUAUUUUUGUCAACGUUGUUGUAUUCAAUAGCUCAUCUCAGCAUUUAAAGCAAAGCUAUGACUGCUUUCUGUCUGGAGCAAUUAUGAUGAGUUGUAACAUGAUGCUUUCAUCUGAAUACAGCCUUCUCAAACCUG